GGGGGGUCCACCAUUAUCAUGAGAUAGGAGCCAAUCAAAAUGAUCCACGCACAACAUUUUCCGCGCUUAGCAUGUGCCCAUGGGCACACCAUAGAAAAACCGAUAAUGAUAUAUGAAUAUUAUUUAAAAUACAGCAAAAACUAGAGCCCCGUGCCUCGCACGGGCUUUUAUGCUAGUUUUAUAUAUGAUAUGACAAUCAAGAUUUUAGCUAAAAAAUUCUAUUAGCAGCGAUUAAUGAGCAAACAAAGCACAAAACCAAAAGAAUACACAAGGUUCGAGAUCCGAAUUAAGCUAAUUGCACGCCAUGUGCUCUACUUAUACACAAGACGCAUGCAAGAUAUCCACAUCCUUCACAUUCCAAAAAGAACUGAUUUAUGUGCCCAUAUCCACAUAUUGCACAUGACAAGGUUGGAGAAUUCUUUCUUUUAGUGUUGUUCUUUACGACCAAGGUAAGUCUGUGUGUUUGAUUGUCAACAAUAUGUUCGAUUGUUCCUCCUAGCUUGGAAUUAUCGUAUGAACGUAGGCAACCGUUGUGAAAAGACUGAUCACAUUCAUCACAAUGAUAAAGCCACCACUGAUUAUUAACUUGUUCUUCACAAAUUUGACAAUAGAAUACUCCCUCGUAGAAGAAUGGAGGGAGUCUCAAGAUUAGAGAGUGAUCGUCAUAUUUGUGUUUCAUCCCGCUUGGGUAAAAUGCACAAUAUAUACUAAUCUCGAAACUGCUGCAAGUUUCGCAUGCAUAUACCAAUUUACCAGUAAUAGAUGAACCAUUUACACAACAAUAUUUUCUGGUGGAUGGGCGCUAAAUGAGGGAGUGGUGUUUGUGAGAUUGAUGCCUAAUUCUCGUGGGCAAGAAUACACAGCCGAUAUCGACCUUGAUAUCACAAGUCUUACAUUCAUAGUAGAACCCAUUCGUGGAGUAGCUGCAAAUUCCGCAUUUCACAAAAUGAUAGAAUUUAAACGGCUGGGUGAGAAAGAGUGAAUGGUGGGGGUGAAAAGGAGAUGCUCCUGCAGGCAACUCACGUGGCAGCUUAUUGGCACAGAAGGAGUGGAGGAAGAAACCACAUUCCACACACGCAUAGUAACUUGGAUGAGAAAUCGUUAUGGGUUGAACGCACCCAUCACAUAUCGACGCCCUUUUAUCAGCAUUAUUUUCAUUGUUAUCAUCUUCGUCGUUAUCAUCCCAACUAACAGUGAACUGGAGCAGUUCUAGUGGAUGCUCCUCGUGACUCCAAUGUCCUACAAUAAUACAUGGAUCGUCGUUUACUGUUGAUAAAGUGGCCCUGUUCUCAUCAUCACCUUGAAUAUCAACUUGAAACUUGCUAUACUGGGUAAUAAUUAGGGGUGAGCAAAAAAAACCAAAAAACCGAAACCGAGCCGAAAAACCGAAAAACCACACCCAAAAAAACCGAAACCGACAAAAACCAAAAAAAACCGUAGCUCAACCGAACCGACGGUUAACCGAACCGACGGUUACGGUUUUACACCUAAAACCGAACCGAAAAACCGAACCGCUUAUAUAAUAUUAUAUAAUUUAUUAUAUAUUAUAUAUCGAAAAACCAAAAAACCGAAACCGAGCCGAAAAACCGAAAAACCACACCCAAAAAAACCGAAACCGACAAAAACCAAAAAAAACCGUAGCUCAACCGAACCGACGGUUAACCGAACCGAAAAACCGAACCGCUUAUAUAAUAUUAUAUAAUUUAUUAUAUAUUAUAUAUCUUAUAUAAAAUAAAUUAUUACAUUGGUAUUAUUGGUAUAUUAUCUGCUAAGUAAGGAACUAUCCACCUCAACUAUAGUCACAAGUCAGCAAGUUAUGGUAGUUUGUUAUAUUUAAGUAGAGAGAGAGUAGUAGAGUAGUUAGUAAUUAACAUCAUUUCCAUAAAGAAAUACUGUGUAACUAAGCCUUGUAUUGAAUUCUGAUAAUUUCUAAGUAAUGCAAAUUCGUUUCCUUCAAAAAAAGGGCUGAUUCAUACUUUACAUUUCUGGAUCAUCUUUACAUACCGUAAUAGUGCUCAUCUACUUCAUUUCGAUUAUAUUAAUAAGUAUUUAUAUUUUAAAUAUUUUCUUUCUUAUUUAUUUUGGUAAAAUACGUACUAAUGAAUAAUAUUUAAUUAGUGAUUAUACCUUAUUUUUUAUUAAAAAAAUUUUGAGUUGAUUAUUAAAUUUGUAUAAUAUUUUUAUUAUAAGAAACCGAAAAAAACCGUAACCAAACCGACGGUUAACCGAACCGAAAAAAACCGUUUGAAACGGUUCGGUAACGGUUUUAAGGUAGAAACCGAACCGAACCGACAUGUACGGUUCGGUAACGGUUUUAGCUAAAAACCGAGCCGAACCGACCCGUGCACACCCCUGGUAAUAAUAAGAUCAAAUAGUGAUUCCACGCCCGGUAGAGGAAAUUGUACCAAAUCAGAACCAUUAUGAACGAUGGCAUUUUCUUCCAUCUCGUCUCUGAAAACAGCAAACAUGAAUUUAGUAUAGGGGUAAUAAUCAUAUAAACAUGAUCAGAUCAGAAAAUAAAAAAACAAUGGAUCUAGAUAACAAGAAAUAAAACAAGAAAGGCACUGACUGGAAAGAUAUUGUGGACGUAGAACAAUUUAAAUGCACAAAGAAUGUGCAUUUGUGACAGUAAUAUGACCAACUGCGGGUUGGAAUCCAUUCUUUGCAGACGGCGCAGUCACGAAAGAAGUAGCGAUGCUGGAGUGGAACAGAGAAGAUAAGAGUGAGGGGAUGAUGGUGAUAAGUAGGAGCUGGAAUGAUUGGUGGAGAAGCAGCACACUUUUUGUGGAUCCAGAAAUCACAGGGGAGGCAUACAUAGGAAUAAUCUUCGGUUCUCUCGUAACAAGCAUUACAGCUAAACAAAGCUUGCCUCUGCAGUGUGAGUGUGUGCUCUGGAUGACCUUGAUGACUAAUCACUCUGUCUUUAGAACCAAAAGCACAAAUGACACAUAUGUCAAUAUCACAAUCCUCACAUCCAUAAGUGAAAUUCACAGCAGGACGAAGACAAAUAUCACAACGGCAACUCGAAGACCGUGGUUGGAGAGCAAGCGGGUGUGGGUCUUUCAAAUGGCGAACAAUUUGUGUGGGAAGUUGAGCACAGCUCUUAUGGAGGUAGAAACUCUGACAACCGAUAUUGUUGCUAGUGCAUGUAUAUGUAGGAAAGCCAAUAACGGAUUCGCCGCAAAGAGAACAGAUAGCAUCAACUUCAAUAAUAUCAUCCUCUUUCAAUCUCAGAGGGUGCUCGGGGUGGCUAAAGUGCUCAACUGUUGAACCAGACAUUAUUCCAGAUGAUAAGAAAUAAAAAUGAAGUGAUUUUUGUUAUAGCUUUUGUUAUAGCUCGGGGUGAUUUUCUUACUCCAGAUGGAAUUUUUAAACAAGUGCGAGUAAUCAAAACAUAUAUCAUCAAAAGUUUAAUGUGAUUAGAAAUAAUAAUAGUUUUUUUCAAAAAAAAGAAAAGAAAUAAUAAUAGUUGUUACUUUGGAAUAGGCAUAUGAAGAUUCCUAUAGUUAUUAUAAUAAUAAAAUAAUAUUUUCUCCAUUUUAAAAUAAUAAUUAUUUUAAUUUGUUACAUGUGAUUUUUUUUUUUUUGGUCACAAGAUACUUUCUCGUAUAACGAAUUGUAUCGGAAUACAAAGGCCGCUGCAAGGAGUUCCUUUCGUUCAAGAAAGUUUACCAUCUAACCCUCGGACAUGCAGAGAUGACCGGGGACACUUAGACAAUAAAGCUUUAAUGUUCGAUAAGAAAACACCCAUAAAGGUCCCGCUAUCAUUCUUUCUUCCACUCGCAUACCUGAAAAAAUACAAUACAAAUAAAACAUAAUAAGUUCAUACAUACAGCAAAAUAAUAAAACUAUCUAAAAUGAUGGAGGAAAAAAGUUAACAAACUCAUAAAAAAUAUGAAUAUGAUAUAAUUUUAAAGAAUAAGAAAAUUAAAAUCAAAAGCUUAUAUAAACAAAUCACUAAAAAAAUCUACACCAAAGAGAUAAUGAGAUCUCUUUGGUUAGAUACAUAAUAGGACCAUCAGAAAAUAACUAAUAAUUAUGUCAAUAAAUAUUUAAAAAUAUAAAUAAGAAAUUAUAAAUAAUUUUUUUGUCAGGAAAUUAUAAAUAAAAUUUGAAAGCAUAGGUAAGAUAUAUCUAAUCAAAUAUUCUUCACAAACAAAUUUUCCACGAUUUUAGCUGUCUAUCUAUCAGCACAACAUAAAUUUGGUAUACACGAAUCAAAACAAUCCACCAUUAAUGGCGCAUUAAUACCUCAUAAAGGCACAAUAAAACCAUCUUAUAUGGCCCCAUGAAUAAUGAAAUUCAGGUACAAUAAUCGGUAAUAAAGAUUCUAUCAAUUAAUCUUUUAAUAAAAGCACAAAUUUUCAAAUUAAAACAUGUAUAGAAGGUCAAAAUCAAAGAUAAACAAAUUUAAAAAAGUCAACUAACCAUUCAAGAUCACUAAACUUAAGCUCUCCAAUUACUAUUAUUUAAAUCAAAUCAUAUCCAAAAUUACAAAGCAAAAACUAAUAUCACGCAAUAAAAUUAGUCAAUCAUUUAUAACAUGCACUAAUUAAGUCACCCCUCCCACAACCUCCACCGCCACUAUCCAAAAACCGCAAACAAUAAUCAAGAACACAUGCGAAACAGUAAUAGACGCACAUGAACAUGAAGAAGCAGAACACGUAAAAUGUAACUAAUCAUAUAAUAUAGGAUUAACAACACAUAUCCAAUCUACUCAAAUUCAAACAAAUAUAGAUUGAAAAGGACGAAAUAGGAUACAAAGCAACCCAAUUAUCGCUAAUCAUGAAAUAUGAACCACACGUAAUAUAUACCGUAAAACAAUAAACAAUCACAUAAUUGUAAUCAUAUAGAUUUUUGUUUUGAAAAGAUCACACCUGUUUUUUUAAAAGUAUUUUUGCAGAUUUGAGCCAUGACAAUCUUGAGCACUUUGAGUCGGUUAAAAUUAAUCCCACGCACACUUGAAUUUAUCUCAUCGGAUCAAUCCCAAAUAUCUCCAACCCAAAAGAGCAUCCGCCUGCCUUGAUCUCGAAAACCGCAGAUACACCAUUGACCAUCAAUUGAGUAUGUUAAUAUAACCAAAACAUAUCCUUGCAGAGAUUUGAUUCAUAAUGAAAAGAUGAAAUUGUUCGCAUCCAAAAAGAAAAAUGAAACGCUGUUUGCAUCCAGGGGUGUGCCACAAACCAGUAAACUAGGUUACUAUCAAUCGGAAUUCGACCCACUGAAACAUUGUUUCUCCUCAUACUGUUAGAGCAUCUCCAACGGUGUUGGCUAUAAUCGUUGGCUAAAUUGGACCUGUAAGACGUUAUGUAAAAUUUGUUGAACCUGUAAGACAUUUCUCUUCAAUGGUAUUGGCUAUAUUGGUUGGCUAUAAUUUAAAAAUAGCAUGUUAUUAAUAUUUUACAUUGUUAAAAUAGAAUAUAUCAGUUCAAUAUGGUAAUAAAUGAUGUGCAAUCUUCCUACAGAUUUCUUACAGACCUGUAGAGGUUCGACAAAUUUAGCCAUCCAUAGGAGGUUGGCUAAAUUUAUAGACAACAGGUCACUGUGGUUGGGGUGUGAAUUUUUGAAGUGGUUGGCUAAAUUUUUUAUUUUUGGCAUGACAACUCACCUUUUAGCUAAGGAGUCUUCGUGGUUGGAGAUGCUCUUAUGUGCUUUCUUGUUUCAGUUUGUUACAUGUGAUUUAAGGUAUAACAAAAAUAUACUUUUAUAUAUUUUUUUUUAUUUUUCUUCAUAGAACAAAGUUUUAACAAAUAUAUUUUUAUUCAUAAAAUUUUUUUGACAAUAAUGUGUAGAGAUAUAUUUUUAUGACAUCCCAAAUUACGUGAAAAAAUCAAAUUGACUAUUAUUUUGAAAUUGAAAGAAUAUAUUUUACUGAUAACAAAUAAUAAUAAUAAUAAUAAUAAUAAUAAUAAUAAUAAUAAUAAUAAUAAUAAUAAUUUAAUAUAUACAGUAACCGAUAGUUAUAGACAUCGAAACUAACACUUUCAAAUUCAUCAAAUGUAAAAUAGUAUUUGUUUAUUUUUUCGACAUUUUUGACAAUGCUCUUAAUAUUUUACAUAUUAAAAAUUAUGUCUAACUUAAUAUAUAUAAUUAUUUUAUAUCUUUUAUGAAACAUCGGUGUUAAUCCGAUCCUAUACUUAUUCAUCUCCUAUACUCAUUAACCAAAAAAAGGUGUACCUAACCUAAAUUUGUCUUAUUGAUUCAAUAGUUUAUAGAAAAACAUCUGAUGUCACCAUUUUUAUAAUAAACUACUAGGGUGGUUGAAAUUUAUAAUUUCUCAGUUCAAUUAUUUGCGUGGAUUAUUUUCGGAUUUUGUAUUAUUAGAAGCAAAACAUAUUUAAAACAAAACUAAAAUCCCAGUGUUGGAGUUGUUGAAAGGUCCGCCGAAUUUAAAAGUUUCCCGUACGUCAGCUUACCUUACCAAAUCAAUUUUGUAUGCAUCGGUUACAAAUAGUUAUAAGUCAACUAUGUAAAGUGAGAGCAUCUAAAUUCAUUAAUACUAAUAAUUAUCAUAUAUCACAAAUAAAAAAAUAUAGAUAAUAUCAAAACACGUGCAUUUCAAUAAUACUCUGUUUAGUGAAAAGUACAGUGAACUUAAAAUGAUUGAUUAUAUUUGAUCAUUCUCUGAAAGUGAGCAGUGAGAUUUCAAAUCAUUUUUUUUACAUAUUAAAUAAUAUAUUUUAUUUAAAACAACUAAAAUAAGAAGUAUAUACUAUAUUUAAAAUAUAAUCAAGGUCAUUAGAACACAAUAUGCUACAUGCUUUGACAAAUUUACAUAUUAUGUUACCCGUCCAUUUUAAUCAACAAAUUUAGUCAAUACUGUCUGAGAUAUUAUAAUAGAAAACUCAUCCAAAGAACAUUAAUAUUUCACUCAGAAAAAAGAACAUAAAUAUUAGUCAUGUUAUUCUUGAUAUGAAUUAUGCUUAAAUUAAUGUGGAUAAGCAUGCAUAAUACAUUAAUCGAUUCUUAGAGUAAAACUAAUGAAAUUACUCCCUCGUCUCUUUUUUUAGUUGUCAUAUUUACAAAAAACCACACAUAUUAAAAAAAAUUAAAUUUGGUAAGUUGUUUCCAUGCAUAUAUUUGUUUAUUACAUUAAAUGUUAAGCCAUAAGUCAAAUAUUGAAACUAACAUUCAAGGGAUAAGUAUAGAAAAAUAGGUAUAAAUAUGUAUUGGAACAGAAAUGAGAUAAAUAUUUAAGGACAAUAUUUUUUUACAAAUGUGACAACUAUAAAAAAUGACGGACAAAGUAUAUUCUUGUUAAUGGUACUGCAGUUUUUUUACAUAAUAGAAGGAACUCACAGCAGCAGACUAAAAUGGUAUAUAUCCUGAACACCAUAAUAAAUAUUAAAAAUAAAUUAUAAAAUUAUAUUUUAGAGCAGUGUUAGAUUGCGUCCCAUUCCCUGCCCAUACAAAUCAGGGAGCUGAUGUUAGGGAUCUCAAGAUGGUUCUAUAGACUUCAAUUAUGCAAUUAUCCAAAGAUGCUGAAAAUUAAGUUUAAUUUUUUUAGAACAUAAUUAGCUUGUCAAGCUGGCCUAUGAGUUAUGUGUCGGCUUGUUGUAUACCAAUUUCACACAGACGCGGAAUCCACAGCGGUCACAUUACAAGAAGUAUUCAAAAAGUAUAUACACUUCCACAUUCGCAACACAAGGAAUGAGGAGGGUCCUUGUAUAUGCACUCCCCUUUAAAACCAGUGCAAGUUUGUGUGGUUGAGUGCUGAUAUUAUACUCAAUGGUGCCUCCUAACUUGACGUUUUCGUAGGGACGGAGGCAAUUGAAGUGAAAAGAAUGAUCACACUUACCACAAAUGAUAGAGCCACCACUGAUUGUUACUCCCUCCCUCCGUCCCUAUUUAUCUGUCCACUUUGAAAGGAAAAAUUUGUCCUCAUUUAUCUGUACAUUUAUACUUUCAAAACUAAUUUAAUGAUAGUUUUUCAAAUAUAUCUCCAUAAUUUCAAUUUUCAAGCCUUGACUUAUUUAAAACUUGGUUGAAUUCAUGUUUUCAAGACAUAAAGUAGGGGUAUUCCACCAUUUUUAAGAUAUUAAUUAGAGGUAUUUAAUGAAAAAGUUUAUACAAUCAAUUAUUCCUUGGUAUGUGUUUUUUUUUUCCAAAAUGGACAGAUAAAAAGGGACGGAGGGAGAAACUUGUUUUUCACAGUAGAAUACACCCUCGUAGAAGAAUAUGGCGGGUGUCUCAAGGUCAUGGGGUGAUUAUCAUAUCUGUGUUUCAUUCUGUGUGGAUAAAAUGCACAGAAAAUAUGAAUCUGGAACCCAAUGCAAGUUUCGCAUGAAUAGGCACACAAUCAAUAAUUCCGUACCUACUUACACUACACUCAGAUUUAUAAAAGUGACGUUGAACAAGAGAGUGGUGUUUGUGAAAUUCAUGUUUUAUCCUGUUGGGUAAGAAUGCACAGCGGAUAUCGACUUUGAUAUCACAAGUCACGCGAUAUUAUAAUGCUUUUUAUUCAAAUUCACAAGUAAAUGAAUAUGGUAUCGUAUUCAUAUGAGUGGAAAUAAUAUUUUACAAAUUUGAUCAUCACAUGGAUAAUUUAUUCUAUUUCACAUAAUUUUAAAUAUUUAAAUACAUAUUCAGUGAAAUAUUUUAAAAAUUAUUCUUAUGUAAUAUAACAGAAAAGUUGAGAAUGCAAUCGAAUAUGAAUAAACCAAACUCGUACAACAAAAUAUGCGAUUUAUAUUACUUUUACAAUGAAUAACAAAGAAGUCCUUACUUAAUUUGAAUUAAGUAAUAAAAAAAUCAAUACCUCAAUUCUUUAUAAUUCUCGGAAAAAAUCAAAUGUACUUGAAUUAUCAUGGUGAAGAUUUCAUCUGAAUUGCUUUCCUUAUUAUACAGCUGCAACUUGCAUGGUUCAAUUUGUUAAGUUUAUCUGUUUUAAACUUUUUGUUUGGAAUAAAAGGUAAUUCAGCUGUACUACUAGGAGAAUUCUAUCAUUAUAUGAGAAUGAUAAAAACUAGGAAGCAUAUUACUGAGUAAGUAUACACUCUGUCGAUGAGAACAACGGUGAUAUUACUUGAGAAGUAUAAAAAAAAAAAAAAAUAGCAAAUUUUAGCAAACAAAUCACGAAAUCGAAAGAAUACAAAAAACAGAUGACGAGGGAGGGGAGAUCCGAAUUAAGCCUGGGGAGAUCAAAACUUAUUUGCACCAUGUACUCUUCUUAUACAGAAGACGCAGGCAAGAUAUCCACAUCCAUCACAUUCGAAAAAGAACUGAUUUCUGUAGCCAUGUCCACAAAUAGCACAUGAGAAGGGUGGAGUUUUCCUUCUUGUAGUUGUCUUUAAAACCAGUGCAAGUGUGUGUGGUUUAUUGUCAAUACUAUGCUUGAUUGUUCCUCCUGGUUUGACAUUAUUGUAUGAACAUUGGCAAUAGUCGUGAAAAGACUGAUCACAUUUGUCACAAUGAUAAAGCCACCACUGAUUAUUCACUUGUUCUUCACAAAUUUGACAAUAAAAUACUCCCUCGUAGAAGAAUGGAGGGAGUCUCAAGAUGAGAGAGUGAUCGUCAUACUUGUGUUUCAUCCUACUUGGAUAAAAUGCACAACAUAUACUAAUCUCGACGCUACUACAAGUUUCGCAUGCAUAUACCAAUGUAUCAGUAAUAGAAAAACCACUUACAGGACACGUUUCACUGGUGGAUGGGCGCUGAAUGAGGGAGUGGUGUUUGUGAGAUUGAUGCCUAACUCUGGUGGGCAAGAAUACACAGCGGAGAUCGACCUUGAUAUCACAAGUCUUACAUUCAUAGUAGAACCCGUUCGUGAGGCUAUUGCAAAUUACGCAUUGCACAAAACUAUAGAAUUUCAGGAGCUGGUUGAGAAGGAGUGAAUGGUGGGGGUGAAAAGGAGAUGCUCCUGCAGGCAACUCACGUGGCAUCUUAUUGGCACAGAAGGAGUGGAGAAAGAAACCACAUUCGACACACGCAUAGUAACUUGGAUGAGAAAUCGUUAUGGGUUGAACGCACCCAUCACAUAUCAACGCCCUUUUAUCAACAUCAUUGUCAUUGUUAUUAUCGUCGUCAUUCUCAUCUACACUAACAGUGAAGUGGAGCCGUU
Molecule: long non-coding RNA, 10060 nt
Filed under: Daucus carota (carrot)
Lineage: Eukaryota; Viridiplantae; Streptophyta; Magnoliopsida; Apiales; Apiaceae
Description: long non-coding RNA (DCAR_LNC001623)
Source: RNAcentral